Long non-coding RNA from Thalassophryne amazonica, 549 nucleotides. RefSeq lists it as uncharacterized. The transcript is spliced from 2 exons. NCBI's taxonomy places the organism in Eukaryota, Metazoa, Chordata, Actinopteri, Batrachoidiformes, Batrachoididae. The record is from RefSeq and is a predicted model, not a curated record.
UCAUCCAAGGAGACUUUGACACGCAACAGCAAAGUGAGAUGGAACUCAUCAGCUCUUAAAUAGAGAACCUGCUCUGCCAACUCAUAUAAGUGAAUAUUUUGCAGGGGGAAUUGCCGCCACAGCAGCACAAACACUGUUUUAUAACAGCCCCUAAGGAACAGGAGCUAAUGUGGACAUUUGGCUGAAACCUGAGCUGCUUCCCGGAAACAACAGUGAUCCAGUUUAUUGGAUUGGUGCAUCCCUAAUAAACUGCAGACAAAAUACUGGAUCAGUAGAUUAAAAAAAAGGAUUAUCUGAAUAAUCUUUAAAUAAUCCUACAGUGCUUCUGAAUAUUUGCUAAAUGGCCUGAAAAAAUUAUUCAUUUGCAAAAUAUCAGAUUCCAGUGUCAGUUUGUCUUGUGUCAAACUCGUAUACUUAUAUUCUUCACUAGUGAAGUUACUGGAGAUGUGAGAAUGAUUAAGAAACCCUGUGCACUGUUCCACUAAUUAUUAGUUUUGUGUCAUUUCCUUGAAAUGAACAUCAAUAAAUGUAACAUUUCUAUCUACAGGA